Long non-coding RNA from Corvus hawaiiensis (hawaiian crow), 8876 nucleotides. RefSeq lists it as uncharacterized. Lineage: Eukaryota; Metazoa; Chordata; Aves; Passeriformes; Corvidae. The record is from RefSeq and is a predicted model, not a curated record. The transcript has 2 exons.
CUGGCUUUGCACAGACACCCCAACAAUCCCACCCUGUGCAUCCCUGAGAGUGUUGUCCAAAUUCCCCUGCCACAGGCAUUUCAGGUUGGACACCUCCAUUGAUGAAAACCAAGGAUUUUUAUCAUUUAUUUCUUGUUCUCUUUUCACAUCUGUAACUGGCAUAUUGCCUCCAAGAAUGCCAGGAACAGAAAAUCACUUAGAUGGCACAGUAGUGUUUUUACAUUAGGAAAAUAAUUCUGCCUUCCAAGAGAAAUUUAAAUUUUAAAAAAAAGGGGAGGCAGGGGGAGAAACAUCCUGAAAAAUCAGUACCUAAUCAUAUUUCCAGUAUGUAUCCUGUUCACGCCAUCUGAAUCCAGUGGAUAAAAUCACAAUUUGAAAGCAGGGCACACCAUACCCUGUAUGUCUUUGUCAUCAACAAAACUUGAAGGAAAAAACCCCAUUUACUCAUUUCACAUGAAUUGCAGCAACCUAUAAAUCCUGCAGGCUUGGGUUCCCCACCUGUCCUGCAUCCAGACCACCUUUUAAUGGAUAUAUUCCUAUGGCUUUAAUGGUGAUGUGGAGCAGUUCACCUGCUUUUGCAAAUUGUGCAGCCCCCCAGGACAGCUGCACUGUCCACUGACAAGAUCAGCACGCAGAAAUAUCACAUUUUAAUGUAUCAUAGCAGGCAGAAAAGGGCAAUGUUAAUUCAGGCAGUCAUUAACCAAAGCAGGGCAUGAGCAAACAGCUGUGAUUAAAGGGGUAUAUUUCUGAUGCCGUGGUCAUUAAGGUACAUUUGUACCAGUGCAAUUAGAAGCGCCCAGGUUUGCUCUGACUCACUGUAGUUCACUCUCGUUAGUCUGCAGUUGUUCAGAUUUCUACCAUAUCCUUUUUUUCUUAAGAGAAACUGGUAAUAUAUCACUGAAUAUAAAUAUACACGUGUGAAGAGAAGGAGAAAUAACAUUCCAUUUGUACAAAAGGGGGAAGAAUCACCCCCCAUCUUUAUCACUGGCAACAGCUGAGGGAAAUUUAAGUUCUUUCAUUUUAUUUGCAGCAAGACUUAAAAAUAGAUUUGCAAAUUCAGACUGGGAACUCUUCUAUCCUUUUCCAAAAAAGAAAAGCACAUCACAACAUGGACAAAUCAAUUCCAAUUGCUUCUUGUCCAAAGAAACCACACUAAACCUCAAGGUGUCUUAGGUAAAGAUUCCAAAUCAGGAAAUGAAAAGCUGAACAAGAAAAUGCUGAGGUCAGGCAGGCUCAACCUUUUCUUAUCCCUUUUGUUAUCCCUUCUCUUUCAUGCUGCUGGGGAGCACACAGAGGGGAUGAAAGCUGCUGCUGCUGCUGGGCUCCAUCAUUAGGAACAGUCUGUAUUUACAGUUUCAGCCUGGGAGCCACGGCAAGUCCUUAGCAGCUGACCUGGCGUGUGGAACUCCAGCCUCCCUCCCCUCGUGCUGCAGCCGCCUUGGGAAGCCCUGGAGUUAAGCUCUGUUCACCUCUGGGAAGGUUAAAAGAAAGGUGCUGAUGACAUUAUUCACCAAGAUUGCACUUCAGAGCAGUUACAGAAUCUUGUGAACUCAAGGUCAGCAAAACUGUAAUUCAGACACUCUGCUCCUCAUCUUGCUCUGUUUGGUGCAAAAUUAGGAAGAAUUCUUGACAAGGUCUGCACAUCCACAGCAUCCUUCUCAGCUGAUGACAGGGAAUGUGCUGCUUGGUGAAACGCUUCGUAUCAGCUCUCACAGAAUUCAGCCGGCAAAGAAAGCAGGCCCUUGUUAUGCAAAAUCUUUGUAAACAGUGUUCUGCCCUUAAAUUGAUUUUAAUGCUUUGCCUUGGCGAGCUCCUGCGCUGAUUUUCCCAACAGAAGCCACCACAGGGGCCAUCUGGUGGCAGCAGUACACUGGAGCUGCACAAAACGUGCUAGGGAAUGAUCCAGGGGUAAAUUUCCAGCAGAAUGCAAAGGGAUCUAACCCUGAACUUCUCUUAAGGACAUAUUGUUAUAACUCAAUCUAGGCUUGAAAAAUUCCUGCAAACUUGGAGGGAAAAUAUAACUUGUUCCGUGGCUGUCAUUCCAAGAUAAAUGUCAGUACAGAUAUUAGAAUGUAAUAAUUUUCUAUUUUAUAUUAAAAAUUAAAAUUGUUUCCCUUCCUGUCCCUGUCCCUGUCCCUGAGCUGUCCCCAUUCAGGGAUUUUUGCUAAUGGACUCCUCAAUGCCUUCUGCAGGGAGGAACAUCUUUUCCUUACUAAAGGGAAAACACCCAGGACUGCUUUGCACUGGUCAGUACUGAAGAGAGGCUCAUUUGGUACUCACAACUUAUUACAGAUACCCCAGAACUUCAGCUUUUGGAGCCAAGACUUUAAUAAAUUUCAUGCUUGAAUCAUCAUUACUAUUACAUUUAUAAAAAGGUGAAAAAAUCCUCUCAGAGAACUAUUUGAGAUUCAGCCUCUCAAGGUAAAUCUAAGACUUUUUUUCCCGGGAAUGUUUUCCUGGGCUAUUUUGACCUGUGUCUGUGCGUAUCUGGCAACAGAGUUUCCUGCAGCGAUGUAAAUUUGGGGCAGUACCUCUCAGAUGGAUCUCAGACACAAGUUCCAUGUUCUUUUCUUAGCACAGGAGGAGCUGCUCAGGCUGGGGCAGACAGAUCCUGUGUGGCAGCCUUUCAUCUGUUACGAAAUCCUUUCAGGAGGAGAGCACUGAAUAAUAAGGUGGAUCUGCUUUCUCCCCGUGUCUCUGGAUGUCAGUUCUUGAGGCAGAGUUGCUGACUAAGGAGCAGUGUUUGGUGUUGGGUUACAGCUCUCCAAAGGAGCUGCCUCCGUGCCUGUGAAAAGCUCCGUUGAUCCACAAACACCCCUAAAAUCAUCCCGGCAAAGCACUUGGGUCACUAAUUAACGCCCCAUUAAGAAGAUAGCCUCAUUUUGAACUGCAGACGUCCUAUUCUAGCUGGAAACAUUUCUGUCUGCAGAGUGACCAUUCAGCAUAUUUCAUCAAGCAGCUUUUCCUCAGGGAGAGCGGCUGCCCGUGGUCACACCGAGCCGUGUCCCCUGCCCUGUGCCUGUCCCUGCCCCGCGCAGGGGUGACAGCCACGGGCUUGGUCCUCUGAAGCCACCCGAGUUCCCAGUGCUGACUCCACAGUGCCACGACAGAGACCCACCCCGCCCCAAUUCACUGCUGCUGCUCAUGUGCCUCUGCCUGGGCAGGCUGGGGGGACCACGGGACCCCUUCCAGCCGUGCCCAUCCCGGGAUUCUGUUCCCGACUGCUCGAGACAACGUGCAGUUGUACCCCAGUCUGUCAGCUGUGUGCCUGACCCCAUUCCUAGGUGGUUUUAACUCCCAGCUUUCCGCACCGUGGUGCAAAGUGAAAGUGGCUCAGAACACUCGUGUCUGGCCCAAGAAAUAGAAGUGACCUCCAGCAUUUGGUGGAAAAUUGACGGUACAAACUAUUUCUUAGUCUCAUGCUUUUAUGGAUUCAAAACAACCAAAAAAGGAUGAUCAGAGACAAGUGUGAUGUAAAGGAUAAAAAACAAUCUGUGAAAAGGAUUAGAAACCCAUCCUAGAUAAAGCCUCUUUCAGUUGCUGAAACAACAGCAAGGGAUGAAGUCAUCCCUCGAUGCCUCAACAAGUGCCUGUCGUGUUGUUCUGUGAAUCACCCUCAGAGCGCAGGAACCUGUAAUUUCCACAUGCAGAAUGUCCAAUUUCAAUGCAGGGAUAAGUGAGAGGGAGGAGAGCACACUUCGUUGAAUCAUUCACAGCUGUAAGUGCCAACAGGUACUGCUGAGUGCAAAGAACAUGAGUCAACAACCACACAGCGGGGCUGGGCUUGGGGAGGGUCUUCUUGUGGGGUACCUGGUACAGAAAACAUCCUUGAGCCCUCUCUGUCCCAUCCCUGACCAAGUCAAACAGGGCACACCCUCGGGGACAGCCAGGCUGCAAACAGGCUGCUCCAAGGGCACCAUCGGGCUGCUGGAAACACGCCUGGGGCAGGGAGGGAGAGGGGAGGUGACACGUGGCACUGGAAUCCAUCCCAGCCCUGCUGCUGCACCCACAGAGCCUUGGCUCUCUUGGUGCUUGGCUCCAGCUUCCCUCAUUCAAAUCCCAAUCACAGAAUCACAGAAUCAGUAAGGUUGGAAAAGACCUCCACGAUCAUCAAGUGCAGCCUUUGGCUGAGUCUCUCCAAGGCCACUAAAUCACACAUGAAGUGCAAUAUCCACUCGUUUGUGACUCCACCACAGUCUGUGCUGAUGUUUAACCACUCUUUCAGUGAAUAAGUUCUUCCCUGAUAUCCAGCCUGAUGCCAUCAUUCCCGUAGCCCUGCACUUUUCCAGGUGUGAUCCCACGUGGGCUGGAGGCUGAGUGUGGAAGCAGGAUUGGUACAACUGGCUGUGUGCAGCCAUAGCUCUGAACGUGGGAUCCAGGAGCCAGCAGGCACACGGAGCCUCUCCAGGAUGGCCAGUGAACAGAAUGAUUCCACAGAGAAGUGGCAAGGAUUUGGAAGAGAAGCAUUAAAAAGGUGGAAAAGCACUGACACACUCAUUACUUUGGUAGGAUGAGGAAAGAGCCACUGCUCCCAGCACUAUCUGUAUUUCUGUGAUAUGGGCCUGAGCAGAAAAGUCUGGGAGAGGAAAACAUCAUGGAACAGGAAGCUGACAGGGCUUUUCAUGGCAGAGCUGCAAAAAUGUCAGAGUAACUAAUAUGUUUUCCAUGGAGGAUACCAACAAAAGAAAACCACAUCAGGAGCAUUCAGUGAAAUACUUUACAAAAUCAACCCAAGUUUAGAUUAUGUAAUUAAAUUCAGAGUAAAAGAAAAAAAAAUUAAAACUUGGAGCGAACAUUUAAUUCUUUUAGUUCUCCCAUUCCUCCGACAUUUUGGUUUUCUAGUUUAGUAAUAACCACAGAAGCAUAGAAUCAUAGAAUACCUUGAGUUGGAAGGGACCCACAAGGAUCACCGAGUCCAACCAUACGGUGGGUUUGGUCCUUUCCCAUAGGGAGGUAAAGCCAUAAUUUGUGUGCAAUCUUGUGCUGAUUUUCUGAGCUGAGAAAGCAGAGAAAGUCAUAAUGCUGCAGGAAGCAGGAAAUACAGGAUUUGCACAGCACUGGUGAGAAUGCCUGUGGACAGCGAGCACCAGCACUAAUAGUGAGGGAUAGAGCAGGAAGGGGUGAAAUCCCCAUGCCAGAGAAAAGAACAAGAUAGAAUGAUUAGAACAACACAAGGCAAUUCCAGCAUAUACCACUGAGGCUUUCUCCAAAACCUGGAGGCUUUGAAGGAUUUCCCUAGGUGAGAAUCAGGAGCAAUCCUAUGAGAUCACUGAGACAUUAAACUGGUCCUCUGGAGAGAGAAUUCCCUGGCUGCACCACCUUCAUCUGCCGUUCCUGAUGCCUGGGAGCAGGGAGCCAAGCACCCUUCUCCUUCCAGCACUGAGUGAAGAGCCCACGUGUGCAGCUGUUUGCCCGCUCUCUGUGCUGCUGGAAGGGACACACCAAUUCCCUCUGAAGCGGCUCCCCGGGAGCACUUUGAGCAGGAGCAGAACUGUUGAUGCAGAGUUUAACAGCCCCAGCUGUUUGGUACCUCCCGAGCACUGAUUAAAGGCUUGGGACUUUCCCUUCUGCUGCCUCUGCUUGUCCUCAGCAUCUGAAGAUCUCCAAUGCCUCACAGAACAACGCUGACCCUUGCUGUGAUGAAACCGCUGGUUUUGGGCCCUGGCCCUUCGGCCCCCAGAGCUGCUGAUCCCGGGAAGAGCUGCUGAUCCUGUCAGGACACACACACACUUCUAUCAGGGCCAAAACUAUAAAUUAUUGGGCUCUAUAAGCUGCCUUUCAGCUAAGAGACCUCAGUUCUGCUAUAAAAAGUUCCAAAGCCGAUCCUUCCUCCACCACAAUAUCUGCUGUAGGGAUGCAAUCCAUAGCAAUUCCAAGGGAUUGGAAAUCACCUCUUGUUUUAAAAAUCAUCUAUAUAAGAGCUCUUACACCUUUUUAAAAGCAUGACACCUUGGCUUUCUGCAGAAUAGUUCCUCUACCUGCCGUAAGCAGUGAAUGUCUUGGGGGAGAAUAUGUAAUAUUUGUGUGUGUUAUUAGGGGAAAAUGCAAGAUUCUAAAAGUAUUAAAUUUUAUAUGUAUGAAUAAUUUGACCUAACUCUCCAUUGGUAUAUACAAUCAUGGAAAAUUAAUUUGUUGUAUUGUGCAGUUUGACACAGUAAGGUAAAAAAUAUUUCUACCUGACCAGCAUUUCUUAGAAUUUCAACAAAGCAGUAAAUCUUAAACAAUCCGUGUUUUUUCAGUGGCUGUUUUCAAGGGCUCCAUUGUGGCAGGAAAUGCUAAUGUUAUGAAUCGAUAUGCACUAACAUUACUCAGGUAAUGUGCUUUUAAAAAUGUAAUUUAACAUAAUGGAAAUCUCCUAGAAAGGUAGAUAUUAAUUUUCAACAAACUCUGAUCAUCCAUUUAAAUUAAAUGCACACCAGCUCAUUCCUCAAUGCAUAAUGCAAACUUCUAUUUAGAAGACAGAUGCCAUAAUUUACACCGUGCAGAGAUACUCAGCUAAUGUAACACCUCUGUUUCAGGCAGCAGUAAAACUGUCUUAAUUAAGGAAAUGCCAACAGAUUAAGAUGUUCUCAUGGUUCAUAAAAUAUUUUAGAGGGUGGCUUGGCAGCAUUAGUACAAAUGUUGUGAAGCCUGGUGUGUCUGAAGCUUAUGCUCUGCACUUAAAUUAAAAAAAAAAAGAUGCUGUGAACCAUGGAAAAAGAUGGCAAUGUCAUAUUUCUGUUGCCAUAUGUUGAUAUAUGUAGUUAUAGUGAUUAUAUAGUGGUCACAGAGUGGGUUCCUAAAUGGCCACAUCUCAAAGUCAUCACUGAGUUUCUACCGUGCUUCUACAUCUCCAGGUAAGAGCCAGCCACUGAAGGAGUAACAGCAAAAAUUUAUCUAAAGGUAAGGAUGAAACUGGAAGAUAAAAGGAGCUGAGAGAAGGCUGGGUGAAAGAGGAAAAUUUACUGUAAGAAGGAAAACCUUCCCACGCCCUUCAGUUCACAGUGCAAACAAUGCACAGAUAAUGGGUGGUUUGCAGAUGAAUCCACAGCACAGCACCUGACCUGACUGUAAAUAAUAUCUAUUCACAUGGGCCAAAUUAAUUUCAUUUAAGCCACAGCUGGUAGCAAAAAAGUCUACAUAACUGAGGGCUGAUCCAAUCAGCACUGAAGUUUUGAGUGAGCAAAUCAAUUAAUUAUGCAUUGAUUUUACCAGGCGUGUUUGUUCCAAUAGUGCACAACUGCGCGUUUGGCUCCGGAGCUCUGCAGCAUCUGUCGGAUAUUUACACCCAGCUCCUGAACACGAGCUCAGUGGUUCCUUUUUGGCUCGAGGCACAGGCAGAGAAGGGAGCAGCUGUUUGCAAAAGGCCACACAAUCACACUGUACCUGCAGAGGAUGCUGCGCUCCAGCGUGGCCCAAGGGAGGGAAGAUGCCUCAUCUGUCUGCAAUUAGGCAAGAAUCACAAUAGGUGCAUGUAUUAAUUCAGUAGAACAAAAUAGAGAGAAGGGAAAUAUGUGUCUUUUCAUAAAUUAAUGCUGGAUGUUGCUGACUAAAGCAGAAAGUAAGUGGAGAUAACUUUUCCUUUUUAUUUCUGAUCUUCACAGGAAAAUCUGUCUGCACUUACCCAUAAAUUCAUACACAGAGAGAGUUCUGUGUUCUGUGAACACAAUCCUGUAAGAAACACAGUUCCCUUUUGCACUGAAUCUGUCAGGUCUCAUUGAUUUUAACAGUUACUGAGGAAAUACAGCUCCUUGCUAGGCACAGAGUGAGUCCUGUACAUAAAGCAUGGGAUUGGAACCUGAGUACAGAGCUGCUGAAAUAAGUACCCGAGAAGUAGCUAAAGCUAAGGGAAGUGAAUGGAAAUAUAAAUUAAUGGGAAGGGAUGAUUUAAUAGGGAUAAAAUAGAGAAGGUAAAACUGAUGUGAUGUUGGAAAAUGAGACUUUCUAGUUAGGAUUCAAAUAUCUGUUACAGGGAGCUUUAAUGAAGUUUAUGCCCGGGCAGUGCUAUAUAAAUCUAGAGCAGAAGACAGACUUAAUCCCAUUAAAUAUUUGUCAGGGAUUUAAUGUAGUAGAUAAUAUAACAAGCACUAUUAAACCUGGCAUUACAAUUCCCCAUUUUUACCAAGUUCCAACGCCCGUGGCUGCAGGGAGAGCUUUGCCUGAGACAGGGCUCAGUGACUGGACUCGCAUUGCUGUUAACGGAUCCCGGUCAGGCACUGGAGCCGCUCUGGGUUUCUCAACUCCUCUUUCCAUGCACUCUAAACCAGCUUUGCUCCCUCCCUGCAGAGGUGGCCACUGGAAAUGCUGUAACAGGAAUAUUUCUAGAACCUUCCUUUUAACAGAAAUAGGCUAAUUUGACCUGCUGGUUCUGUACGUUUUUUCUGUUCAAGAGCAGAAUAUCAUCAUCAACCUCCUCAAACAGCUGCUGCCAAAACCACCUUCCUUUGCUAAGAUAGUGAAAUACCCUGGUCCUGCAGCCCACCUCAGUCAGAAUCUCCCCACUGUUAGUUCAGGGAGUGCCUGCCUUCCAUGUUGCUUGUACACUUCAUUUUCUCACGUCAUCCCAGCUUUUAUGCUUGGCUGAACGACAGUAAGAUAAACAAAAAAAAAGGUUUGAGCUCUGCAGAUGUGGGGAAACUUUUGUUACACCCAAAACUGUGGGAUGGAUAAGGCAUCACUGAAUUUCUUUUCAUUUGUACAGAUUCAUUUAUACUCUUUGGUUGGUUAGUUAGUUGGUGUUUGAGGACUUCUUUGUGCAGGCUCUAGCAACUACCACCACACAGCAGACAGGAACUGCUUUUUGAGAAUAUCCUACUGCUCUGACCUCAAAAGUUCAAAGUUUCUGGGUUAUCAUAAUCAUGUCUGUGGCAAUUAAAAUACUGGGAAUUCAGAUACUU